AAGAAAGUAAGCAAGGGCGCAUGGCGGAUGCCUUGGCUCUCGGAGGCGAUGAAGGACGUGAUAAGCUGCGAUAAGCUUCGGGCAGGUGCAAAUAACCUUUGAUCCGAAGAUUUCCGAAUGGGACAACCCGUCAUUCUGAAGGAAUGACAUCUUGCAUAGCAAGAGGCUAACGCAGGGAACUGAAACAUCUUAGUACCUGUAGGAAAAGAAAAUAAUAAUGAUUCCCCUAGUAGUGGCGAGCGAACGGGGAUUAGCCCAAACCAAUGUUGUUACGGCAAUAUUGGGGUUGUAGGACCACGAUGUCGCAAGAAAUUUAGUGAGAAGAACCCUUUGGAAAAUGGGACCAUAGACGGUGAUAGUCCGGUAUUCGAAGCUAAAUGAAGCGUAGUGGUAUCCUGAGUAGCGCGGGACACGAGGAAUCUUGCGUGAAUCUGCCGGGACCAUCCGGUAAGGCUAAAUACUCCCGAGAGACCGAUAGCGAACCAGUACUGUGAAGGAAAGGUGAAAAGCACUUCGAAUAGAAGAGUGAAAUAGUCCCUGAAACCGUGCGCCUACAAGCGGUCGGAGCUGCUUCAGCAGUGACGGCGUGCCUUUUGCAUAAUGAACCUACGAGUUACUUUUUCCGGCAAGGUUAAGGAUCUUGAGAUCCGCAGCCGAAGCGAAAGCGAGUCUUAACAGGGCGAUUAGUCGGAAGGAGUAGACGCGAAACCAAGUGAUCUACCCUUGGUCAGGUUGAAGGUUAGGUAACACUAACUGGAGGACCGAACCGAUAAGCGUUGAAAAGCUUCCGGAUGAACUGAGGGUGGGGGUGAAAGGCUAAUCAAACUUGGAGAUAGCUCGUACUCCCCGAAAUGCAUUUAGGUGCAGCCUUGGGAAUUACUACUGUGAGGUAGAGCGACUGAUAAGAUGCGAGGGCUUCACCGCCUAUCAAGUCUUGAUAAACUCCGAAUGCGCAGUAGUUCGAUCCCAGGAGUGAGGGCAUGGGUGCUAAGGUCCAUGUCCUAAAGGAGAAGAAUCCGGACCAUCAGCUAAGGUCCCGAAAUAAUUGCUAAGUUGAACUAACGAAGUCAGAUUGCUAAGACAGCUAGGAUGUUGGCUUGGAAGCAGCCAUUCAUUUAAAGAGUGCGUAACAGCUCACUAGUCGAGGAGUUUGGCGUGGAUAAUAAUCGGGCAUUAAGCAAUUUACCGAAGCUAUGGGAUCCGUAAGGAUCGGUAGGGGAGCAUUCCACUCUGCGUCGAAGGUGAAGCGUGAGCUUUGCUGGAGCGUGUGGAAAAGCAAAUGUAGGUAUAAGUAACGAUAAAGGGGGUGAGAAACCCCCUCGCCGAAAGACUAAGGUUUCCUGAUCAACGCUAAUCGGAUCAGGGUUAGUCGGGUCCUAAGGCUCAGCCGAACGGUGAGGCCGAUGGCAGAACAGGUUAAUAUUCCUGUACUACCUUAAGGAGUGACGUGGAGACGGAGGAGUGACAGCGCCGCGGACUGACGGAAUAGUCCGUUGAAGGGUGUAGAUGUUGAUUAUCCCAGGCAAAUCCGGGAUAAGAGUCGAACCUGAUAGUAUACCAAAUUCUUCGGAAUAAGGUAAUAGUGCGUGUAAGCAUACUCCCAAGAAAAUCCGCUAAACUUAAUCUUUAAGGUACCCGUACCGCAAACGGACACACGUAGUCGGGUUGAAUAUACUAAGGCGCUUGAGUGAUUCACGGUUAAGGAACUAGGCAAAUUGACCCUGUAACUUCGGGAUAAAGGGUCCCAACGAGAGUUGGGCGCAGAGAAUAGGUCCAGGCAACUGUUUAACAAAAACACAGGGCUGUGCCAAAUUGAAAGAUUACGUAUACAGCCUGACACCUGCCCGGUGCUGGAAGGUUAAGAGGAGAUGUCAUCGCAAGAGAAGCAUUGAAUUGAAGCCCCAGUAAACGGCGGCCGUAACUAUAACGGUCCUAAGGUAGCGAAAUUCCUUGUCGGGUAAGUUCCGACCUGCACGAAUGGUGUAAUGAUCUGGACACUGUCUCAACCGUGAGCUCAGUGAAAUUGUAGUAUCGGUGAAGAUGCCGAUUACCCGCGAUGGGACGAAAAGACCCCGUGAACCUUUACUAUAGCUUAACAUUGAAUUUGGGUAAUUGAUGUGUAGGAUAGGCCGGAGACUUUGAAGCAGGUACGCCAGUAUUUGUGGAGUCGCUGUUGAAAUACGGCCCUUUGAUUAUUUGAGUUCUAACUCGUUGUUACGAGGACACUGUUUGGUGGGUAGUUUGACUGGGGUGGUCGCCUCCAAAAGUGUAACGGAGGCUUCUAAAAGGUGCCCUCAGGACGAUUGGUAACCGUCCGUAGAGUGUAAUGGCAUAAGGGCGCUUGACUGGGAGACAGACAAGUCGAUCAGGUAGGAAACUAGAGCAUAGUGAUCCGGUGUUUCCGUAUGGAAGGGACAUCGCUCAAAGGAUAAAAGGUACUCCGGGGAUAACAGGCUGAUCCCUCCCAAGAGCUCAUAUCGACGGAGGGGUUUGGCACCUCGAUGUCGGCUCGUCACAUCCUGGGGCUGGAGAAGGUCCCAAGGGUUGGGCUGUUCGCCCAUUAAAGUGGCACGCGAGCUGGGUUCAGAACGUCGUGAGACAGUUCGGUCUCUAUCUAUCGUGGGCGUAUGAAAUUUGCGUGGCUCUGACACUAGUACGAGAGGACCGUGUUGGACUGACCGCUGGUUUACCAGUUGUGCCGCCAGGUGCAUUGCUGGGUAUCUAAGUCGGGAUUGGAUAAGUGCUGAAAGCAUCUAAGUACGAAGCCAGCCACAAGAUUAGAUUUCUUAGGGUCGUCAAAGACGAUGACGUUGAUAGGAUGCAGGUGUAAAGGUGGUAACAUCAAAGCCGAGCAUUACUAAUUGCCCGUUCACUUUCUUUC
This 2881-nucleotide ribosomal RNA is filed under the name Bacteroides ovatus. RNAcentral's name for it is "23S ribosomal RNA". It matches the Rfam family "Bacterial large subunit ribosomal RNA". The record is from RNAcentral. Lineage: Bacteria; Pseudomonadati; Bacteroidota; Bacteroidia; Bacteroidales; Bacteroidaceae.